UAAAUCUGACAAGUUCGUGCUUGUAUUUCAAUAUCUAUAAUCCAGUCAUGUUUUCUGUAUCAAUGGUUUCCACGAAUCUUGCGCUUUGGGUAUCAUUUACAGUUUAAAUUUCCUGAGACAAAGUCAUUGCAUAAAUAAAAAAGUCCCCAGUUUUCUAAUCACAGAAAUUUGUGACAUACCGCGAUUUGCAGUCUUGGAAACAGCGUGUUUCUCUUAACACCAAUAUUUCACGUCAUUCUCGUUAUCAAUCUUUACUCUCGGAAGAUGAUGUUGUCAUCAUAGAGCAGCGGAAAGGUCGACUUAAUCAUUUUUGUUAGAUUUACUUGAGGUACAAAACCGAAAUUUGAAACAGGAAGCUUUGAGGAUGAAACGAAAUUUUAACGGUUACCGGUAACGGGAAUGAACGAAAUCCGGAAAUCGUAAAUUUUAUAAAAUAAAAAAAUUCGGGGCGGGACGAUUUCAGAGGGGCGGGCGGGGAUGAAAAUCUAUCAAUUAAUUUUAAUUGGCCUUAUGGCCACAAUAAUUUUUUAGUGUUAGUAACAUACUUUUCAGAGACAAAUUGUUUUUUUCAGAAAAGUCCAUAAUGUAUAGAUUUUUGGUCUUUAUUUUCUGACAUGGACGUUUAAGAUUGCUUAUAUUAAACCUCUAUUUGACCAAAAGCAUUAGAAAAUUCAAUUAUAAAAUUAUGCUUUGCUCAAUGUUGAAGGCGUAUGGUGACCUAUAGUUGUUAAUAUCUGUGUCGUUUGAUCUCUAGUGCCAAUUGGUAUUACUGUUAAAAAUUUAUUUUCAAUAUAUCAAAAAAAGUACAAAUGGCUUAGUGAAUAGAAAUUUCAGUGCUUUAUUCUUCAUUAUGAAAGUGGGAUUUACCAGCAAUGAUUUAUUUGUGAAUGUAAGCAAAAUAAAUAAAUUUACAAUAAAUAUCUUUAUAAGAAAAAACAAAUACAUUUUUAGUGAAUUAAAUGUAAAGUGUCCCAUACCUAAAUAGAAUAGUCCAUUCAGGACAUUGAACAUGAGGAAAGCAAGCUAGCUAUCAUUCAUUUAAAUUAGCUCUGUCAAAAACAAACAAGGUAAAUCUACAGGAAGUUAAAUGACCACUUGUUGAUAAUAGCUCUCACAAUACCUAUUGUACAAUUUAAAUGGACAAAUUGUAUUGACAAUUUUUUUAACUGGUCAGGCAAUAGGUAAUUCACUUCCCCAAAGGUUAUUGGGUAAGCACAGUAAUAAAAAAAAAAGAAGAUAAUGUUAGAAAAGAAUAUAUUUUAAAAUUUGACCGUAUUUUCGUUUCUAUUUUUUUUAUGUCCCAUUUAUUAUGCGCCGUUUAUGGGCAUUAUGUUUUCUGGUCUGUUCGUCGUCCAUCUGUCCUGCUUCAGGUUUAAGUUUUUGGUUGAGGUGAGGUAGUUUUUGAUGUCAGAAGUUAAAGUCCAUGCAAUCAACUUGAAACUAAGCACAGAUCUUUCUAAUUUUAAUGCCAAAUUAGAGAUUUUACCCCAAUUUCACAAUCCACUGAACAUAGAAAUAGAUAGUGUGGAUGGGUCAUCCAUGUACUAUGGACACAUUCUUGUUUUCAACUUAUUUUCCAUACAUUCCUUGCUAUUUGCUCAAUAUGUAUGCCAGCUGAUACUUUUUAAUCAUUCCUUAAAUGAAUUUAUUCUAUUUUAUACUUGUAAAUAUUAAAAUUGUAUAUACAUUUUAUAUAGAAUAGUCAAUGGUGUUUUUAAUUCUAUUUAUAACUUUAUGUUUUAAUGAAAUGUGAUAUUUGAUAUCACAAACUAUUUGUACUAACUAUAUAUAUUUUUUAUUUCUGUAGUCAUGGAUACACACAAAUAACUUUAAUUAAUUUCAUUGUAUUAAAAGGCUUAGAUUAUGUAUACUAUUAUUAGAAGUAUUCAUUUAAAAAAGGUAUGAGGGUCUGGAUGGGGGGUCUGUUAUUCUGUAAACAUUUAAUUUUCACCCUUUUUUUUUCUCUAAUCUUCAAAUAAUUAACCCCUUUUUCUCUCUAAUCUUUAAAAAUUAGACUACACAUUUCUCUAAUCUUCAUUUUUUUUUGCCCGUUAUUUCUCUGAUCUUCAAUUUUUAAGGGCAUUAUUCUUUAAUCAUUUAACCCCAUCCAAACCCUCAGGUAUAAGGCUGCAUUAAUCCAUUUAUCAAUUAUUAAUUAAUUUUCAAGGUCUGAGGAAAUGUAUACUAAUAAUGUCAUAGUUAUAACAAAUUGUCCAAAUAAUUUUAAAGCAAUAAUUUUAUUCUAAGCAAACACUUUGAAAAAUAUACUAUAACCAAGGCAAUAAAAUGAAUAUUCAUUAACUUUUAUUUAAGGUUUCCUUGAUUGACAUGAGAAAAGACAAAAUCCCCAUAAUAGUGAAAUGAAAUAUAUGUCAUUUUUUAUAUUUAAUUCUAUGCUAUAUAUAUAUAUAUAUAUAUAUAUAUAUAAGAUAUUGUCAUAUUUUUUUAUACACCUAAUUUUUUGACUUUUUAAUUUUACUUGUUAAGAUGUCUUUAUAUUAUCAAGAGGAA
Molecule: long non-coding RNA, 2511 nt
Filed under: Mytilus galloprovincialis (Mediterranean mussel)
Lineage: Eukaryota; Metazoa; Mollusca; Bivalvia; Mytilida; Mytilidae
Source: RNAcentral